RNAcentral lists this long non-coding RNA (4535 nucleotides) under Populus tremula. RNAcentral describes it as "long non-coding RNA (PTRE_LNC002734)". The record is from RNAcentral. Lineage: Eukaryota; Viridiplantae; Streptophyta; Magnoliopsida; Malpighiales; Salicaceae.
GGUGCUCCAUAAGAAAACUGAUACCUUGCCAAGACUGCAACCUUGAGCUGAGAGUCCAAUCGAACGGUCAAAAAAGAGUUGCAGUUCUGAUAUUUCCUUUGAUUUUUUCAACUGGUAUCUUGUGGAAGCCACCCCCAUAAUCCCCCAAAAAAAACAGAAAAAAUAAUAAUCUACCUUUCCUUCCUCCUCUUUCAGGGCAUGAAGGGAACCGCAACACCUGUCUCUUUAUAUUGAAAUCUAGAGUUUCUUUUAGCAAAUUGCUAUAUUUCCUUCUUCAAACAUGUCUAAGAUCUUAUACACCCCACCAUCGUGAGGGGUAAAGCAACAAGAUUUCAGGUAUGCCACUUCUAUCAAUACCCUCAUCCACAAACUUAGAACACCCUUUUAACGUUUCCCUUCUAUAUUUCCCUUUCUAGCAUUAAAUUUUGUCAGCACUUUGGAAGCAUAGUUGAUGGUUUUGAUAUUGCUCUUAUUCCCAUCUUUUGCUGUUCUUUCUGUAGGGCGUAGUCUGUAUCAUAAUCAUUGCAGUAGGGAUUGUAUCAUCAGCCUUUGGAACCCACUCAGCACUCUCCAAAAUCAUUGAGAAUUUGAGCAGCUGAAAUUUUGGGUUGCUUCUGCAACAACAAUGGCAACUAGAGUUUCAUUUUAAGUAAUAAGUAGUUUAACUCCUUAUUCUCCACUCCAAUUCUGAGACGGUUCUGGUGUUAGUAUCUCCCUAUUCCCCUUUAGUUAACUUGCAAUUCUGUAUGAUUAUGGGCAGGUAAAAUUAUUAAUGGUUUACAGCAUGGUUAUUAAAAUUACAAGUUGAUUUUACGAGUUAAUAAAUUUUUAAUAUGUGAAAUCAUUUUAAAAACUCAAAAAUUAUUGAAAUCGAGUUAGGUGAAAUUGCAUAAAAUCAUGAUUUUGAAACUGUUUUUAUAAUUUCAUCAAGAAUUAUAUACUUCAGGCUCCAGCCCUCCAACUAUCUUAGUUGUACCUUAAAGACUAUACUUAUAAUAUGACAUGGCCAAGUAAAGAUGUAGAGACUAUACUUAAAAGUUAUAAAGAGUUUAAAGACUAUACUUAUAGCAUGACGUGGCGAAGCUGUAAAGACUAUAUUUAUAGCAUGACGUGGCCAAGUAAAGUUUUCAGAAUCACUCAUAUUAAUGGGUAUUUGGCAAUUGACAUGGUUUUUGUUUGUAUUUAUAGUUUUUGUUUAUCUAUAAAAACAUUAAUUAUAUACAGUUAAAUCUCUGUGAAUUAAUAUAUUUUGUAACAUGAAAAUUUAUUUAUUAAUCAAAAUAUUAAUUAAUCAAUAAAUUAUUAAUUAAUUUAUUAGUGUAUACAUUAUUUUAAAAAAAAAUUAUCAAGGUUUUUCUUUUUCAAAGCAUUAAAGUUAAUACAUGUAUCAUGUUAUUAUGAUUAUAAAAAUAUUAUAUAAUUACUAAAUUAUGAACUGUCAUUAUUUUAUAUAUUUAGUAAUAUAAGAAAACUAUACAUAAAUCCUUUCUAAUGCACUAAAAAAAGUAAAAAAAUGAGGUACAAGAAAACAUAAAUUUCAAGAGAAAAUAAUUAGCAUUAAAGUUAUAUCUUACAAAUACCUUCUACUUGAGUCAUUUAUAUGCAUAAGUUUAAUGUGUAAAGAGAUUAUUAAUUUAUAUAUCAAGUGGGAUCUAUGUUUUUAAUAUAUUAUCUUAUAAAUUUAACAAAUUAUUAAUUUAUUACAUUAGUCUCAAGUCAAGACCGAUAAAAAAAUAUUAUUUAAUCAAUAUUAUCAAUUUAAUCAAUAUUAAUUUAUCAAAAUUAUAAUGUAAUUAGUAAACAAAUAUCCAUAUCGCUAGCAUUAUCCAACAUCAGUCUAGAUCAAUCCUUUCCAUUAGCCAAAAAAAUCACUGUUUAUGGAUCGAACCUUUUGAGUAAAUUUUGGUACUGCUUUGGAAAAAGAAAAUGUUGGUCCUAUAUAUUGCUUUCCAAAGCAACUAAUUUUAAUACGGAUUUACCACUGUGUUUUUGGGCAAAUAGAUUUAAUUUAAAUUUUAAAGUCAUAAUUAAUUACCUUUAUUAUAUCAGUUAGCAGAUGUUGCGAUGAUUCAAUAAUUAAUUAAUUAUUAUCAGAAAAAAGGAUUUAAUUAGGAAUAUUUAUUUUCUCGUAAUGAAUCAACUUUUGUCUUUGAUGACAUCCUCGCAUGAUCCUGAAGUUAUACGAACAGAUACUUCUUUUUAAAACCCACUAAUUAACCUUCAAAAGAAGCUCUUUACAUGGAAAAUUACAUCGAUCCUGGAUUUUCGUAAUAGAUUUUGGAAGAGGGGAUAUCUGAAAAUGUAAAUUAUGGUGUCAUUGACUAAUUUGUAUAUUUUUAAUUAAUUAUUAUCAAUAUACAAGAGAUGCAACGUAUCUCAUGAAAGCUCAAUUAAUAAUUUAUUCAAAGUCUAAGACAAGAGAUUUAGGCCGUAAAAGCACUCAUAAUUAUUAAUAGCACAGAAAAUCACAGCAUUGCAGAUUAAUGCAAAAAUGCAGGUGACAUCUUGUAUUAUUAUUAUUAUUAUUAUUAUCAUCAUCCUUACUAGUAUUACUAAACUAGCUUGUAUUAGGUCAAGCAAGCGAAAUGAGGCAGUAAUGCCUCUCCUUUACAAAAGAAGCCGUCUUUCCAUUAACCUGUCACACAAGGCAUUGAUAUGAGCAUUUGCUGAGGAGAAAAGGACCAGUUGUUGCAAUAGCACAUGUGAUAGUUUGCGGAGGAGUGUUCUUGAUUACAAAAAAUACGUUUGCAAUAUUUAGGGCAAUGGGGUAUACAGACAUCAUCGUUCGCACAUGGCAUGCCCUUCAUUGCUGUGAUCUCUGUAGCUUGAACUGAUCCUUGCUGUAGGAAACCUGUCAAUAAAUUUUUGUUUAUUUAUCAGUCAUGAGCUAUCACUUCUGUACAUAUUGUCAAAGUGUAUGGAAAAUGAUAAAAUAUAUUAAGUAAAAGGAAACUUUAUUUUAAUUUGUGUAUCAUAAUUCUCAAAAACUCUCAGUCUUACAAAUUAAGCAGAAGAGAAAAGAAGACAAAAAAAAUAGGGAAAAAAAUACGAGAGAGGGAGAGACUCACAAGCUGUAGAAAAUAUCAAAAUAAUUAGGAAUGCCAACUUAAAAGAAGCUUUCUCCAUCCUUCUUCCUUUGUUUUUUUCUUCUUUUCUUUCUUUCGUAGUAGAGUGCUUAUUGAGAAAAAAUAAUAUCUCUCUGUGUGUUUUCACGAUAUAGAGAAAUAACGAGUGGUAUUUAUAAUAGAGUAGACUAAUCACUGAAGUUCGUGAAUAUAUAUAUAUAAGGUUGUCUAUUUUUGGAUUCAAGUUCUAUAAAUAUAAUCGCUAAUUAUGGAACAUAUAUCAAGUCAAGAUUAAAUCAAGAAAUUUUGAUAAUUGAAGAUUGUAAUUAUUCCUUUAUUAAAGGAUAUUUUGAUCGAAUUCUAUCAAUACAAUUACUAAUCAUGAAGAAAAUUAAAAACCACGUCAAAAGAUAAAAUCAAUACAAUCACAUUAAUUAAGAAAAACAUAACUAAGAUUUUUUUUUUAAUUUAAGGAUUUUUUUAUAAUUAAUUCGGUGAUUUUUUAGAGAAAAUAUAAUAUAAAGUGAGAUACUAUAAAAUAAAUAUACAGUAAUAACAAAGAUCUCGAAUCCUUUGUUUAAAAGAUUCAUGGUAUAUUUAUAAUUUAUGAGUUUUUUUAUAAAGAUGAGUAACUAAAAGUAAUAUUAUCAUGAUAAUAUUAAAAAAUAUUACAUUUGUAUUAUAUUAAUGGGAAAUAUUUAUAUAUGUUUAAUAUGCAUGGAAUAUGUAAGCAUUUAAAGGAUAUAAAAAUAUGGUGAAUUUUUAGAAAAUAUUUAUACACCUAAUAAUAUAGAAAAAGUAAGAUCUAAAAUAUAGUAUAAUGUAUAUCGGGUUAUCGUUUAAAAAUUUUGUUUUUUAAGAUAUUAAUCAUUUAACAGUAUUAAUAAAAAUAAAUUUAUUCUGAUUAAUUUGAUAAUAUCCAAUAAAUUUCAUGAAAAAAUGAUAUUACCUCAAUAACAAGUUUUGUUGAUUUUGUUUUAGAAUAGCAAAAUUCUAAUACAAAGGGCAAUGUCUCUGUAAUUACAAUGUUUUACUGAUGUGUUUUAAUUUUUCUUUUUUAUUUUAAUAAUAAGUUAUCAUGCAUCAAUACAAUACUACCCUCUCUUUCGGUGCUCCAUAAGAAAACUGAUACCUUGCCAAGACUGCAACCUUGAGCUGAGAGUCCAAUCGAACGGUCAAAAAAGAGUUGCAGUUCUGAUAUUUCCUUUGAUUUUUUCAACUGGUAUCUUGUGGAAGCCACCCCCAUAAUCCCCCAAAAAAAACAGAAAAAAUAAUAAUCUACCUUUCCUUCCUCCUCUUUCAGGGCAUGAAGGGAACCGCAACACCUGUCUCUUUAUAUUGAAAUCUAGAGUUUCUUUUAGCAAAUUGCUAUAUUUCCUUCUUCAAACAUGUCUAAGAUCUUACACACCCCACCAUCUCUCAGAUUUCUGUCUUCAAACUCAAUACCACGUGACCCAUCACGUGAAUUGU